Molecule: ribosomal RNA, 252 nt
Filed under: uncultured bacterium
Lineage: Bacteria
Description: partial 16S ribosomal RNA
Rfam family: Bacterial small subunit ribosomal RNA
Source: RNAcentral
UACGGGGGGGCAAGCGUUGUUCGGAAUUACUGGGCGUAAAGGGUUCGUAGGUGGCUUGCUAAGUCACACGUGAAAUCCCUCAGCUUAACUGGGGAACUGCGUGUGAUACUGGCGAGCUUGAGUGCAGGAGAGGAACGCGGAAUUCCAGGUGUAGCGGUGAAAUGCGUAGAUAUCUGGAGGAACACCGGUGGCGAAGGCGGCGUUCUGGACUGCAACUGACACUGAAGAACGAAAGCCAGGGGAGCAAACGGG